RNAcentral lists this ribosomal RNA (446 nucleotides) under uncultured bacterium. Its description in RNAcentral is "partial 16S ribosomal RNA". It matches the Rfam family "Bacterial small subunit ribosomal RNA", at positions 338 to 795 of the family's 1533-position model. The record is from RNAcentral.
CCUACGGGUGGCAGCAGUCGAGAAUCAUUCACAAUGGGGGAAACCCUGAUGGUGCGACGCCGCGUGGGGGAAUGAAGGUCUUCGGAUUGUAAACCCCUGUCAUGUGGGAGCAAAUUAAAAAGAUAGUACCACAAGAGGAAGAGACGGCUAACUCUGUGCCAGGAGCCGCGGUAAUACAGAGGUCUCAAGCGUUGUUCGGAAUCACUGGGCGUAAAGCGUGCGUAGGCGGUUUCGUAAGUCGGGUGUGAAAGGCGCGGGCUCAACCCGCGGACGGCACAUGAUACUGCGAGACUAGAGUACUGGAGAGGGGACCGGAAUUCGCGGUGUAGCAGUGAAAUGCGUAGAUAUCGAGAGGAACACUCGUGGCGAAGGCGGGUUCCUGGACAUUAACUGACGCUGAGGCACGAAGGCCAGGGGAGCGAAAGGGAUUAGAUACCCCUGUAGUC